GCUAAUACCGCAUACGACCUACGGGUGAAAGCAGGGGAUCUUCGGACCUUGCGCGAUUGAAUGAGCCGAUGUCGGAUUAGCUAGUUGGCGGGGUAAAGGCCCACCAAGGCGACGAUCCGUAGCUGGUCUGAGAGGAUGAUCAGCCACACUGGAACUGAGACACGGUCCAGACUCCUACGGGAGGCAGCAGUGGGGAAUAUUGGACAAUGGGCGCAAGCCUGAUCCAGCCAUACCGCGUGGGUGAAGAAGGCCUUCGGGUUGUAAAGCCCUUUUGUUGGGAAAGAAAUCCAGCCGGCUAAUACCCGGUUGGGAUGACGGUACCCAAAGAAUAAGCACCGGCUAACUUCGUGCCAGCAGCCGCGGUAAUACGAAGGGUGCAAGCGUUACUCGGAAUUACUGGGCGUAAAGCGUGCGUAGGUGGUCGUUUAAGUCCGUUGUGAAAGCCCUGGGCUCAACCUGGGAACUGCAGUGGAUACUGGGCGACUAGAGUGUGGUAGAGGGUAGCGGAAUUCCUGGUGUAGCAGUGAAAUGCGUAGAGAUCAGGAGGAACAUCCAUGGCGAAGGCAGCUACCUGGACCA
Molecule: ribosomal RNA, 579 nt
Filed under: Stenotrophomonas sp.
Lineage: Bacteria; Pseudomonadati; Pseudomonadota; Gammaproteobacteria; Lysobacterales; Lysobacteraceae
Description: bacterial SSU rRNA
Rfam family: Bacterial small subunit ribosomal RNA
Source: RNAcentral